RNAcentral lists this unclassified non-coding RNA (277 nucleotides) under fungal sp. Its description in RNAcentral is "partial internal transcribed spacer region". The stretch from base 1 to 46 matches the Rfam family "Eukaryotic small subunit ribosomal RNA", at positions 1786 to 1831 of the family's 1831-position model. Lineage: Eukaryota; Fungi. RNAcentral also lists the same sequence under 1 other name. The record is from RNAcentral.
AAGUCGUAACAAGGUUUCCGUAGGUGAACCUGCGGAAGGAUCAUUAGCAAGAGAUUGCCUGUGGCCACUGCUAAUUAGAGUUUGUGGUUUAACAUGGGCAAAUUGCCAUCCUUGUGUUGUGUGAAUUGUCAGUGUAUGUGCCCUAUGGCCUCUUCUGGGACAUGGGCACAUUACUCUCUUUAAACUCUGUCUUUUUUACCUUCUGAACCUCUUUGCAUGCUUGGAAACAGGCAUCAAAAACAACCGAAAACUGCCAGCAAUGGAUCACUCGGUUCUC